AACGUGAAAUCGCUGGAGUGGAACCGGAGAGAGUUGACGUAGUCGGGUAACUAAGUUUGCCAAAGUCGCUUAAUUGUGACAGCGGCAGAUGUAUGUUGCCUAUGGCUGCGCUGACAGCACUGGCUGUGCGUUCCGAACCGUUUGCGUUGCCCACUUCGGUGGUGUCUUGUCUACGGCUAGGUUUGUCGUGGCUAGUGUUUUAUCCUGCUUGCAGGGUGUCAGUGUGAAAGUCGACCACCUCUCCGACCCGUCUUGAAACACGGACCGAGGAGUGUAACUUGUACGCGAGUCAAAGGGUGGAAAACCCCAUGGCGAAAUGAAAGUAAAGGUCGGUUAACCGGCUGACAUGGGAUCCGCCUUUCGAGGCGGCGCACCAUGGCCCUGUCUUGUCUGCUUGCAGAUGGGCAGCGGUAGAGCGUACAGGUUGCGACCCGAAAGAUGGUGAACUAUGCCUGAGCAGGACGAAGUCAGAGGAAACUCUGAUGGAAGUCCGUAUCGGUUCUGACGUGCAAAUCGAUCGAUAGACUUGGGUAUAGGGGCGAAAGACUAAUCGAACC
Molecule: ribosomal RNA, 557 nt
Filed under: Uncinaria stenocephala
Lineage: Eukaryota; Metazoa; Nematoda; Chromadorea; Rhabditida; Ancylostomatidae
Description: LSU rRNA
Rfam family: Eukaryotic large subunit ribosomal RNA
Source: RNAcentral